Molecule: ribosomal RNA, 496 nt
Filed under: uncultured bacterium
Lineage: Bacteria
Description: partial 16S ribosomal RNA
Rfam family: Bacterial small subunit ribosomal RNA
Source: RNAcentral
AUGAACGCUGGCGGCGUGCCUAAUACAUGCAAGUCGAGCGAACAGACGAGGAGCUUGCUCCUCUGACGUUAGCGGCGGACGGGUGAGUAACACGUGGAUAACCUACUUAUAAGACUGGGAUAACUUCGGGAAACCGGAGCUAAUACCGGAUAAUAUAUUGAACCGCAUGGUUCAAUAGUGAAAGACGGUUUUGCUGUCACUUAUAGAUGGAUCCGCGCCGCAUCAGCUAGUUGGUAAGGUAACGGCUUACCAAGGCAACGAUGCGUAGCCGACCUGAGAGGGUGAUCGGCCACACUGGAACUGAGACACGGUCCAGACUCCUACGGGAGGCAGCAGUAGGGAAUCUUCCGCAAUGGGCGAAAGCCUGACGGAGCAACGCCGCGUGAGUGAUGAAGGUCUUCGGAUCGUAAAACUCUGUUAUUAGGGAAGAACAAAUGUGUAAGUAACUAUGCACGUCUUGACGGUACCUAAUCAGAAAGCCACGGCUAACUACGUG